CAGUAGCCGCGGUAAUACGAGGGGGGCAAGCGUUGUUCGGAAUUAUUGGGCGUAAAGGGCGCGUAGGCGGUUUGGCAAGUUUGGUGUGAAAUCUUCGGGCUCAACUCGAAGUCUGCACCGAAAACUGCCGGGCUUGAGUAUGGGAGAGGUGAGUGGAAUUUCCGGUGUAGCGGUGAAAUGCGUAGAUAUCGGAAGGAACACCUGUGGCGAAAGCGGCUCACUGGACCAUUACUGACGCUGAGGCGCGAAAGCUAGGGGAGCAAACAGGAUUAGAUACCCGUGUAGUCCCUGUCUCUUAUAA
RNAcentral lists this ribosomal RNA (301 nucleotides) under uncultured bacterium. RNAcentral describes it as "partial 16S ribosomal RNA". It matches the Rfam family "Bacterial small subunit ribosomal RNA", at positions 509 to 809 of the family's 1533-position model. The record is from RNAcentral.